This 88-nucleotide transfer RNA is filed under the name Legionella pneumophila. Its description in RNAcentral is "tRNA-Ser(gga)". It matches the Rfam family "tRNA". Rfam says of the family: Transfer RNA (tRNA) molecules are approximately 80 nucleotides in length. Their secondary structure includes four short double-helical elements and three loops (D, anti-codon, and T loops). Further hydrogen bonds mediate the characteristic L-shaped molecular structure. tRNAs have two regions of fundamental functional importance: the anti-codon, which is responsible for specific mRNA codon recognition, and the 3' end, to which the tRNAs corresponding amino acid is attached (by aminoacyl-tRNA synthetases). tRNAs cope with the degeneracy of the genetic code in two manners: having more than one tRNA (with a specific anti-codon) for a particular amino acid; and 'wobble' base-pairing, i.e. permitting non-standard base-pairing at the 3rd anti-codon position. RNAcentral also lists the same sequence under 84 other names. The record is from RNAcentral. Lineage: Bacteria; Pseudomonadati; Pseudomonadota; Gammaproteobacteria; Legionellales; Legionellaceae.
GGAGAGAUGGCCGAGCGGUCGAAGGCGCACGCCUGGAAAGUGUGUAUACGGCAACGUAUCGAGGGUUCGAAUCCCUCUCUCUCCGCCA